ACAUGUUUCCAUUACUAUACCUACUUUUGCAGCCCCCUGUAUAUCAUCGAAAUAUUAUUUCGGUUUGAGGAUCGGACUAAGUAAGUGUCGAAAUCUCUUGAGACAUCUGAUAAUUUAAAGAAAUAACGAGUCAUCUUAUAACUUAUAAAGUAGUCUUAUUGAGUCUUAUAACUAAGCCAAUAAGGUUAGGGUGGUGGCUUGGGAUCCUAGGGUCCUGAGUUCAAGCCCUGUUGGCCACUGAAUUAAAAUACACCAGGAGGUUGACUCAGCCUGUCAUCCUUCCAAGGUCGGCAAAAUCAGUACCAGUGUACGGGUCACCUACGUGUCCAUGUGUGCUCUCCCCCUGUGUGUAACGGCUUCGAUGUCCAUCGGCAUGCAACAUUUCAGCUUUCAUUAUCACCCGGAAGAGCUGUCAGUUGCCUUUCCACCACCCACAUAAAGGUAUGCGUCAGAAGAACGUGUUGCUUGCUCACUUGGAACAAGAUUGCCCGUCGGAAUGUUGAAGUUGUAGAGAGAGGGAGAGAGAGAAAGCAGGUCUUCAGCAGUUUCAGAACAGGAACAAUUUGUGGUGUUAAUGGCCAUAGCAUAUGCUUGAAGCAAAGGAAGCCAUGUCCACCGACCCUCAAAUGUGCUGCUAAUCCUCUCAACACAUCUACUUUUCGAUUCCAUCAAACCAUGUAUCCCGGUGAUUCGUGGAUCGACAACCCGAAGGAAUGGCCGAACGUGCAAUACCCGGACGGAUACACGUGUCUAGUCAAGACACCAGGAGUGUUUACACAUGAAGCAAUGAAAAACUACCGUUCACUGGAAGUCCACAAAUGUUUUGUCUCUGGUUGGGAGCAGACUGUGCUACACAAAAAUGUUGGAGGUAACCAUGUUAGAGCCUCUAAUAUUUGUUUGAUCAACCAUCAAACUCUAACAUUUG
Molecule: long non-coding RNA, 925 nt
Filed under: Eptatretus burgeri (inshore hagfish)
Lineage: Eukaryota; Metazoa; Chordata; Myxini; Myxiniformes; Myxinidae
Description: lncRNA (ENSEBUG00000017108.1)
Source: RNAcentral